This 495-nucleotide ribosomal RNA is filed under the name Halomonas sp. V2H-005. Its description in RNAcentral is "bacterial SSU rRNA". It matches the Rfam family "Bacterial small subunit ribosomal RNA", at positions 1 to 499 of the family's 1533-position model. Lineage: Bacteria; Pseudomonadati; Pseudomonadota; Gammaproteobacteria; Oceanospirillales; Halomonadaceae. The record is from RNAcentral.
UUUAGAGUUUGAUUCCAUGGCUCAGAUUGAACGCUGGCGGCAGGCCUAACACAUGCAAGUCGAGCGGUAGCAGGUCCUUCGGGAUGCUGACGAGCGGCGGACGGGUGAGUAAUGCAUAGGAAUCUGCCCGAUAGUGGGGGAUAACCUGGGGAAACCCAGGCUAAUACCGCAUACGUCCUACGGGAGAAAGGGGGCUCCGGCUCCCGCUAUUGGAUGAGCCUAUGUCGGAUUAGCUAGUUGGUGAGGUAAUGGCUCACCAAGGCAACGAUCCGUAGCUGGUCUGAGAGGAUGAUCAGCCACAUCGGGACUGAGACACGGCCCGAACUCCUACGGGAGGCAGCAGUGGGGAAUAUUGGACAAUGGGGGCAACCCUGAUCCAGCCAUGCCGCGUGUGUGAAGAAGGCCCUCGGGUUGUAAAGCACUUUCAGCGAGGAAGAACGCCUGUCGGUUAAUACCCGGCAGGAAAGACAACACUCGCAGAAGAAGCACCGGCAA